CCCGCUCCUUCGUCCUCUCCUCCCCCACUCCUCUUCCGCCGCUCGUACCAGUCCGCCGACGCCCGGACCGUCCAAGGAAGGGCGCCACCACCACCUCCUCCUCCCACAGCUGUCGCGCCUCCUCCUCCUCCCUCCUCCCACCGCCGGAUCCGUGCCGACCCGAGCCGUCGCUGCCCCGAGCCGCCACCGCCGGACCGAGCCGCCCGUCGCCGCCGAGUCAUCGCAGCCGAAGACCGCCGCCAUCGACGAGUUCCCCGCCUCCUCUUGCACUGGCCAAUCUAGAUCUUCCCGUCGCCGCUCCAUUUUACCGGUCCCCGCCACGACGCCGCCGCUAACCCUAGCCGCCGCCACCGCCUCACCUACCGUUGGAUCCGCCGCUGCUUCACUGGCCUGUCGCCCCGCUCGUCGGCGUCUCCGGCCCCAUCGCCGGCCCCCACCACUGCCUCGGGUCUGCGCGCUGUUGCCUCCACUGCUAACACCACCGCUUCGAACCCCAAGACGAGAGGGCACAUUCGCUGCAACGGCGAGGUCAAGACCAUCUCACUCAGGUCGGUCGACGUUGUCUUCGCCGGCGAGGUCAGAGUGGUGAAGUGGACGCCGCGCGCUGAAGCAAAAACUGAAGUCUGAAUUCUCUGAGCUGUAGCUGUAGAUAAUCUUUCAGGGUCAAUCAGUCGCUGGCAAUUUUGCUUGUGAACCAGUGCGUCUGUAAGACAGAGCAAAUUGCUCCUCUGCUUGUAAAGGAUUGCCGAGCGGCAACAGAGAGAUGUUAAGAUUACAAUAUACUUUACUGCGGUACUGUAAAAUUAGUGACUUGCAACAUCAUCGCAUGGUUCUGUUGCCGCUCCUGAUUCUCACCCGCCGCCGUGUACUUCAGUGAGGAAUAACUCGCGUAGUCAGGUUGUAUGACCUCUGUAAAUGAUAUUGUUUGGUGAGGUUGCUAUGGUUCUGCGAUCUACAACACAUCAAUUUCCUGACCUUAAACAAGGCUAAGCAGAUUGGGUAUGAGUGAGAAUGCUGAAAUGAAGCUGCAAUGGACUGGUUGCUGUUUGAGAAUACUUAAUCAUAUUUAGACCGAUUGCUAUCUUUGCCAAUAGGUGCAAUCUUUGCAGCAUUUGACAUUAGCGAAGAGAUGCCAAUAGGACUCUUUCCCUUUCCAGUUGGAGACCUGUUGAAAGCUUGCAAUAAGGAAAAAGGAAUUCUGCCCAAAACUCAAUGGACAUUGCAUGCAUAAUUUUGAUGUUAUACACCAUUAAACUUAGAGGGGCUUAAUAGAUUAGGGCUGUUGGCAAUGUUUCAUAAUGGUAUACAGAUGAUGUUCUAUAAUAGAUUAGGGGUUGCAUGUGCAAAUUCAAUUCUGAUAAUAAUCUUAGAUAAAUGUUCCUAUGUGACUUCUCCUGUAGCCACAAGAGCUGGGCACUACAAUGUUCUGUUUUGUUGGGUUCUUCA
Long non-coding RNA from Phragmites australis (common reed), 1446 nucleotides. RefSeq lists it as uncharacterized. Lineage: Eukaryota; Viridiplantae; Streptophyta; Magnoliopsida; Poales; Poaceae. The record is from RefSeq and is a predicted model, not a curated record. The transcript is spliced from 2 exons.